CCCCACAUCACCUGGGUACAGUCCCACAUCUCCCGGCUACAGUCCCACAUCACCAGGUUACAGUCCGACCUCUCCCACAUAUAGCCCUAGUUCUCCAGGAUAUAGUCCUACAAGUCCGGCUUAUUCACCAACCAGUCCAUCCUACUCUCCCACAUCACCCAGCUAUAGCCCAACAUCACCCAGCUACAGUCCUACAUCACCCAGCUACAGCCCCACAUCACCCAGUUAUAGCCCGACUUCUCCCAGCUACAGCCCGACUUCACCUGCAUACAGCCCAACUUCACCUGCCUAUAGCCCCACUUCACCUGCUUACAGUCCCACUUCACCUUCAUACAGUCCUACGUCACCUUCAUACAGCCCCACUUCACCCUCUUACAGCCCUACCUCCCCAUCAUAUAGCCCUGCUUCCCCUGCUUACAGCCCCACUUCACCUGGAUACAGCCCUAC
This 447-nucleotide long non-coding RNA is filed under the name Vigna radiata. RNAcentral describes it as "long non-coding RNA (VRAD_LNC010917)". Lineage: Eukaryota; Viridiplantae; Streptophyta; Magnoliopsida; Fabales; Fabaceae. The record is from RNAcentral.